CGUUGACCUCGGAUCAGGUAGGAAUACCCGCUGAACUUAAGCAUAUCAAUAAGCGGAGGAAAAGAAACCAACAGGGAUUGCCUUAGUAACGGCGAGUGAAGCGGCAACAGCUCAAAUUUGAAAUCUGGCCCCAGGCCCGAGUUGUAAUUUGCAGAGGAUGCUUUUGGCGCGGUGCCUUCCGAGUUCCCUGGAACGGGACGCCAUAGAGGGUGAGAGCCCCGUCUGGUUGGAUACCAAGCCUUUGUAAAGCUCCUUCGACGAGUCGAGUAGUUUGGGAAUGCUGCUCUAAAUGGGAGGUAUAUGUCUUCUAAAGCUAAAUACCGGCCAGAGACCGAUAGCGCACAAGUAGAGUGAUCGAAAGAUGAAAAGCACUUUGGAAAGAGAGUUAAACAGCACGUGAAAUUGUUAAAAGGGAAGCGUUUAUGACCAGACUUGGGCCGGUUAAUCAUCCAGCGUUCUCGCUGGUGCACUUUGCCGGUCCAGGCCAGCAUCAGUUCGCUGCGGGGGAUAAAGGCGUCGGGAAUGUGGCUCCUCUGGAGUGUUAUAGCCCUUCGCGCAAUACCCUGCGGUGGACUGAGGUUCGCGCAUCUGCAAGGAUGCUGGCGUAAUGGUCAUCAACGACCCGUCUUGAAACACGGACCAAGGAGUCGUCUUCGUAUGCGAGUGUUCGGGUGUAAAACCCCUACGCGUAAUGAAAGUGAACGCAGGUGAGAGCUUCGGCGCAUCAUCGACCGAUCCUGAUGUUCUCGGAUGGAUUUGAGUAAGAGCAUACGGGGCCGGACCCGAAAGAAGGUGAACUAUGCCUGUAUAGGGUGAAGCCAGAGGAAACUCUGGUGGAGGCUCGCAGCGGUUCUGACGUGCAAAUCGAUCGU
This 872-nucleotide ribosomal RNA is filed under the name Stachybotrys pallescens. RNAcentral describes it as "eukaryotic LSU rRNA". It matches the Rfam family "Eukaryotic large subunit ribosomal RNA", at positions 1 to 905 of the family's 3401-position model. Lineage: Eukaryota; Fungi; Ascomycota; Sordariomycetes; Hypocreales; Stachybotryaceae. The record is from RNAcentral.